AAUUAGACGAGAGAGCUUCCUUCAGUCCACUCACGGGUGUCAUGUAGGGUUCAAUUAGCUGCUGACUCAUUCAUCCAAAUCCUCUAAUUAAAAACAGUUUUAAUUAGCAGUAACUGAGUGAAUGAAGCGGGAGACUUAUUGAAUCUUAAGCUUCCUGUAUUUGGACUGAAGGGAGCUCCCUUAGGUUGAGUU
Non-coding RNA from Daucus carota subsp. sativus, 192 nucleotides. NCBI's taxonomy places the organism in Eukaryota, Viridiplantae, Streptophyta, Magnoliopsida, Apiales, Apiaceae. The record is from Rfam.